CGUAUGGUAAAUUGAGAUUUGAAGGUUG
Molecule: small RNA, 28 nt
Filed under: Bombyx mori (domestic silkworm)
Lineage: Eukaryota; Metazoa; Arthropoda; Insecta; Lepidoptera; Bombycidae
Description: ovarian small RNA-14545
Source: RNAcentral